This is a long non-coding RNA of Papaver somniferum (opium poppy), 542 nucleotides long. RefSeq lists it as uncharacterized. The record is from RefSeq and is a predicted model, not a curated record. NCBI's taxonomy places the organism in Eukaryota, Viridiplantae, Streptophyta, Magnoliopsida, Ranunculales, Papaveraceae. The transcript is spliced from 2 exons.
AUAAGACAUGAUGAACCCAUGCAUCUCUGCCGGUGAACAUUAAUUGAUGUGUAAAAUGUAUGGAUUGCACGAGCGAUCAUCUCUUCUUGUUUCUAUAUGUAAGUGAGCCUAGCUCUCAACUCAUUUGUGAAGACUUAGAAUUGCAUCACUUAGCUUGUGAUUUUGGGUGGAGUAGAGAGGAGUACAUAGAAGAAGAAAAGGGUCUGCAAAAACACAGAUGGAUCACGGAUUUAAGAUGGUUUUCGUAUGGGAAUGUGGUGGAGACUUUAAAAUCCUGAAUCAAGAUGCUGCAACAUGAUGAUAUUUCCUCUCAAAACCACUAUAUCAACUAGGCCGACCAGGGUAAAUGUUCUGUUUGUUUCAUCCUACACCCGAAUGAAACGUCUGCAUUUCCAACUGGCGUUUGAAGAUUGCCAUGUAAUUUGAUCGAAUCCAAUAAAGUGCGUCGUGAACAAAGUAUCCAGCACUUCAAGUAAUUCCAUCUCCAUAUUUACAUAUUAUAUUAGAGUUCAGAUUAAAUAGAAAGAUUACGGUUUAAGCUA